Molecule: ribosomal RNA, 1956 nt
Filed under: Triticum aestivum (bread wheat)
Lineage: Eukaryota; Viridiplantae; Streptophyta; Magnoliopsida; Poales; Poaceae
Description: partial small subunit ribosomal RNA
Source: RNAcentral
CAAACCGUUGCCCCCAUCUCCUCUAUCUCUAUCCCCUCUCUCUCUCUCUCCGCCCCACCCCUCUCUCUCUCCCGCUCGUCUCUCCCUCUCCCUCGUGCGAGCAGAUACGGCGGCCUCGCAUCCGCCCGCCGGUGAGCACCGCCUCCUCGCCGGACCCCUGGAGCCCCGCCGCCCCGCGCUGCCGCCUGCGCCGUGUCGCGCGCCGCCACCUCCCCACAAGCUCGCCGCCCCGCACCGAGCUCCUUUGCGCCCCGCCCUCGUCCCCGCGUUGCCACCGCCGCCCCAUGCUGCCUCGCGCCCGGAUCCGGCCGCGGGAGAUCCGGACACUCCGGAUCCGGCCUCCUCCUCGCCGCAUCCAAAGAUACUUGUAUGGGGAUCCGGCCUUCUCCUCGCCGCUGCCGCAGGCGUUGAACCGCCCCGUCCCCGAAGUCCGCGAAGCGCUUCUUGCAGAGGAAGUUGCACCAGGUCUCGCCCCACCCCUCUCCCGCUCUAUCCUGUCAGAUUUGGGGUCGAUCAGACCGUCUUCACCGGGGCUGGUCGGCGGAGUUUUCUUCCGGUGCUGACCGUGGCCGUGUUAGCGAUUCUGUUUGUCUGGAUGUUGCUGCAGGGAGGAGGGGGAGAGAAAGGAGGCGGUGGAGGAGGAGGAGGGGCGGCCGGUGAUGUGGCCCAGCUGGAGGCGCAGAUCGCGCUCCACUACGGCAUCCCCUACGCCUCCUCCGUCAUGGUGUUCGACCCCGUGCAGCGGCUGCUCGCCGUGGGGACGCUGGAUGGGAGGAUCAAAAUCUUUGGGGGUGAUAAUAUCGAAGGCAUCCUCAUAUCGCCGUAGAGCAUGCCAUACAAGUAUCUUCAGGUUUGGCACUUCAUACAAAAAGAGUAGCCCGAUUUGUUAACUGUAGGAUGGACCAAACUGUAGGACUUUGGUCGUUGGUCUUGGCACAUGGAGCAGCAGCACAAUGCAGAACUGCUCCGCUCAAAAAACAGAGCAGCUAGCCAACCAAACUGAGAUACAAUGUAGACAGGCAGGCAGCAAGUACUCCAACUAGUUAGCAGACAUAUUUUUUCCCUUCCAAUCCCCUUCCUGCUAUUGUGAUUACCACCAACAAAGAAUUUUAUCUGGCCUCCUCCUCCUCCGCGGGAAAGAAUACAAUGGAUCUUUUUUGGUUAGGCGAAAUUUAUGUCUGUACAUGCUUGAUAUGAAAGGAGGGGUUUAUCUAAUUAACUACACAUAUGGUUUCACAUUCCACCUGUGUGCUCGCAAUUUAAAUGCAGUAUAUUUUACUCACCAAUACAUCUUGAACAAUCUAAAAAAUAUAUAGCUUGGUUUAUCUUUGUAACUCCUUAUCUGAUUUUUUUCCAUUUUCCACAUUGUUGUGUCUAUUUUCUCAGUUUGGUCCUGUGUAAAUACUUGUCUUAGGGGUCUCUGUAUUGCAUAUACACGGAAUCUUCAAUUUGUCUCAAAUGCUCAGUGGUAAAAACCAGCCAUGCUGGCGGUUCUUAUCAGUGUGAUGGUAUGCUAACUGUUUCUGAUAUAAUUCUGCUCUAAAAGCCCUACACUAUUUUUGUCUUGUAGAUACACCAUGCAGACAAAUGCUGAGUUAAAAGGUCAUAACUUUACACUAAUUUAAGAUUGUCUUGACCUCAAGUGCUGGCUCCUACAGCAUUGCAUUUCACCCAGUGAAAUGCUACAUUUCUACUCCUAACCCAUUCUCUCUUUCUUAGUGUUUUUGUUAUGCAGGUUGGAAGAAAAGAAGAAGAUCCAGAGAAGAUCUUAGUAAUAAGAUAGUUUUUAGGAAAAUAGAUAUUUAGUUUUAUGUCAUUUCUUGUAAUUUUAGAUAUGGAGUGCUUGCCUUUAGUUUUUGUUUUGACUUUGUGAAACUUGCUACUCUUGGUAACAUGUGUUGGAUAUAUAUGUGUUCAUGAGUAUCGGUAAUAUGUGUUGGAUAUGCUAUACUGGUC